This 519-nucleotide ribosomal RNA is filed under the name Maculabatis gerrardi (sharpnose stingray). Its description in RNAcentral is "partial 12S ribosomal RNA". The stretch from base 47 to 393 matches the Rfam family "Bacterial small subunit ribosomal RNA", at positions 875 to 1387 of the family's 1533-position model. The record is from RNAcentral. Lineage: Eukaryota; Metazoa; Chordata; Chondrichthyes; Myliobatiformes; Dasyatidae.
GCGGCCCGGUACAUUGCACUACAAAGAUUACCUUAACCUACCGCCCGAACACUACAAGCGCUAGCUUAAAACCCAAAGGACUUGGCGGUACUCCAAACCCACCUAGAGGAGCCUGUUCUAUAACCGAUAAUCCGCGUUUAACCUCACCACUUCUUGCUCUUUCCGCCUAUAUACCGCCGUCGUCAGCUCACCCUAUGAAGGUUUAACAGUAAGCACAAUGACCCUUCUCCUAAGUACGUCAGGUCGAGGUGUAGCGAAUGAAGUGGGAAGAAAUGGGCUACAUUCUCUCUAUAGAGAACCUACGAACAAAAGUAUGAAAAACUUCUUAAAGGUGGAUUUAGCAGUAAGUAGACUUUAGAACAUUACACUGAAAUCGGCUCUGGAGUGCGCACACACCGCCCGGUCACCCAACAACACAGCGCCGGUCACCCACACUCUCCGCCAGACACCCUCAUUUACCGCAAGUGGGGGGGGGGGGGAGGGAAAAAAACUCUCAUGGGGUGGAGGGGGGGGGUGGGU